CAUAGGUUUGGUCCCAGCCUUUCCAUUAGCUUUCAGUGAGAUUACACAUGCAAGUAUCCACAACCCUGUGAGAAUGCCCUCUAGAACUAUAUAACAUGAGGAGCGAGUAUCAAGCACGCACAUGCAGCUCAAAACACUUUGCUCAGCCACGCCCCCACGGGAAACAGCAGUGACAAAUCUUUAGCAAAUAAACGAAAGUUUAACUAAGUUACACUGAUCAGCAGAGUUGGUCAAUUUCGUGCCAGCCACCGCGGCCAUACGAUUAACUCAAGCUAAUAGACUUCGGCGUAAAGAGUGUUUAAAAUAACAAUUCCAAUAAAGCUGACCUCUAACUAAGUUGUAAAAAACCCCAGUUACAGUAAAAUAUUCUACGAAAGUGGCUUUACCACCCUGAAUACACUAUAGCUAAGAUACAAACUGGGAUUAGAUACCCCACUAUGCUUAGCCCUAAAUCCCAAUAGCUCUGCCAACAAAACUAUUCGCCGGAACACUACAAGCAACAGCUUGAAAUUCAAAGGACCUGGCGGUGCUUUACAUCCUUCUAGAGGAGCCUGUUCUAUAAUCGAUAAACCCCGAUAUACCCUACCACCUCUUGCCCUCAGCCUGUAUACCGCCAUCUUCAGCAAACUCUAUAACGACAGCAAAGUAAGCAUAAGUAUAAUCAUAAAAACGUUAGGUCAAGGUGCAGCCAAUGAAGUGGAAGAAAUGGGCUACAUUUUCUAUGUUAGAAAAUAACACGUUAGUCUCUAUGCAACCUAAAGACCCAAGGUGGAUUUAGCAGUAAAUCAAGAAUAGAGAGCUUGAUUGAAAUAAGGCCAUUAAGCACGCACACACCGCCCGUCACCCUCCUCAAACAUCACGUAAAGUAUUUUAACAAUAAGCACCUACACACUGAUAUAGAGGGGAUAAGUCGUAACAUGGUAAGCGUACUGGAAAGUGUGCUUGGAAGAAU
RNAcentral lists this non-coding RNA (952 nucleotides) under Cacajao calvus rubicundus. The record is from RNAcentral. Lineage: Eukaryota; Metazoa; Chordata; Mammalia; Primates; Pitheciidae.